Molecule: ribosomal RNA, 490 nt
Filed under: uncultured bacterium
Lineage: Bacteria
Description: partial 16S ribosomal RNA
Rfam family: Bacterial small subunit ribosomal RNA
Source: RNAcentral
AUUGAACGCUGGCGGCAGGCCUAACACAUGCAAGUCGAACGGUAACAGGAAGAAGCUUGCUUCUUUGCUGACGAGUGGCGGACGGGUGAGUAAUGUCUGGGAAACUGCCUGAUGGAGGGGGAUAACUACUGGAAACGGUAGCUAAUACCGCAUAACGUCGCAAGACCAAAGAGGGGGACCUUCGGGCCUCUUGCCAUCGGAUGUGCCCAGAUGGGAUUAGCUAGUAGGUGGGGUAACGGCUCACCUAGGCGACGAUCCCUAGCUGGUCUGAGAGGAUGACCAGCCACACGGGAACUGAGACACGGUCCAGACUCCUACGGGAGGCAGCAGUGGGGAAUAUUGCACAAUGGGCGAAAGCCUGAUGCAGCCAUGCCGCGUGUAUGAAGAAGGCCUUCGGGUUGUAAAGUACUUUCAGCGGGGAGGAAGGGAGUAAAGUUAAUACCUUAACUCAUUGACGUUACCCGCAGAAGAAGCACCGGCUAACUCCGUG